RNA transcript from Gigantopelta aegis, 2289 nucleotides. It is a transcript of the gene named 33 kDa inner dynein arm light chain, axonemal, with no coding region annotated. Lineage: Eukaryota; Metazoa; Mollusca; Gastropoda; Neomphalida; Peltospiridae. The record is from RefSeq and is a predicted model, not a curated record. The transcript has 7 exons.
AUAGUAGCGGGUAAACAUAAUCUGUUGCUGUUUGUGUAUAUCUUUCUUAUUUUUGUAGUGGGAAGCUGCUCAGUCCAGAUAUCGAAAAUGAUUCCACCAAACGCAUCGCUUGUUAAAUAUGAUAACCCAGUUUUGGUUAGUAGGAAUACAGACAAAAAGACACCAAGGGCUCGUGCAUUGAAAGUGAGUCCCACGCCGCCUACUGGCACAGGUCCUGUUCCAAAUCCACCAGCCAAACAGAAACUAGCUCCAGUUGACGCCAAGGCUGCUCAACAAACAGAUGAAAUCCUCAACUCAAUAUUACCUCCAAGAGAAUGGACGGAAAAUGGUCAGUUGUGGGUCCAGCAGGUGUCCAGUACUCCGGCCACACGACUCGAUGUGGUCAACCUUCAGGAAGAGCUUGACCGGAGACUUCAGCAGAGACAAGCAAGAGAAACAGGAAUUUGCCCGGUUAGGAGGGAACUUUACUCUCAGUGUUUUGAUGAAUUGAUUCGUCAAGUGACGAUUAACUGUGCAGAGCGGGGUUUGUUAUUGCUGCGGGUUCGUGAUGAGAUUCGGAUGACAAUCGCUGCAUACCAGACUCUCUAUGAGAGCAGUGUGGCGUUCGGAAUGAGGAAAGCACUGCAGGCUGAACAAGGAAAAGCAAACAUGGAGAAGAAGAUUUCCGAGCUGGAGCAAGAAAAGCGCGAUUUGGAGAAGAAUGUCAACGAGUUGAAAGCAAAAUGUGAACAGAUUGAAAAGCGUGCUGCGGAGCAGAGACAGGUGGAGGAGAAAAAACACACAGAAGAAAUUCAGUUCCUUAAGAGAACCAACCAACAACUUAAGACUUUCACCCGUAUGUUAAACUGAUGGAUGAAAUUGUUUACAAAUUCAAGAGUUCCAUUGUUCAUUGAAUUUUAGAAAUGCACAAAUUCUCAAAACGUUUCCUGAGGUAGGCUCCUCAGACUCCACACACUAGUGACAAACUUCUCAUUUGACAUUUAGACCCAGUUAGAAGGCAUCAUUGCGCCCAAGAAAUAGACAGUUGAUUAAUUGAGCCAGCUGACCGUGAAAAGACUGUUGAUAAACUAUACUAAAUAUCUGAAAAUAGAUCAACAUUUCAGAUGAUUUUGGUUUUUGUCGGCCAAUCCAUGUUUUUUUCUGUAUUGGUUUCGUGGAAAUAAAAAAUGUAAUCUGUGAUAUUUCAACUAAAACGUCACCAUUUUUAAAUAUACAUACCGUACAUUUGUUUGUUUCAUUUUCUAUAGCUUUUUUUUCUUCAAAUGUUUCAUUUCUGUUGUUUAAUUGGUUGUAAUUUGUAUAUAUUAGUAUGUGAGCAAGGCAGUUAAAUUGGGACAUUUCUUCUGUUUUUUAAAUUAUUAUUAUUAUUAUUAUUUAUUAUUAUUAUUAUUAUUAUUACUAUUAUUAUUUUAAGCAAGCAGUUACAUGUUAUCUUCUCAAUGUUAAUAUUAUCAAUUCAAAAACCUUUAAAGUCGGGGAAAAUAUUACAUGAGCUGGGACCUUUUCUAGGAUUGAAUUAUAUGAUGGGGUGGGGGCGGGGAUAGGGGUGGGGGCAGGGAUAGGGGGUGGGGGCGGGGAUAGGGGGGGGGGUGGGGGUACAUUAAAAUUGUUUUAAAACCGAGUAGCCACAAAUAUAAUUAAACAAUUUUCAGUAUUAUAAAAUACAAUAGGAUCAAAGUAUACAAUCUGUGGGGGAGGACAAUUGAUCAACAUAUGUUUACCAUUUAAAGAUUUUAUUGAUCAAUAAUAAUAUAUGCAGAUAUGAAUUAUUGUCAUAAACACUCUUUAAACAUACUUUGUGCAAGUGAUGGGAUUGUAAGUCACUGAUUUCAAGUCAACCCAACUUUGACUAAUCAAACCAAACCAAUGAUAAUACCGUAAUUUAAAAAACAAAAGAGAGAGAAAAAACAUGCCAAACAUGUGGAUCUCUAAGAUAAAAUAAAAUAAUUUGUAAACAUUGUUUACUUGUGUCAUGGACCGACAGCUGGAUUUGUUCAUGUCUACUUGUUACCAAAAUAUCAGUAGUCUAUUUUUUUAACUUUUUUUUCUUCGUUUAAAUGUACCAGUAGUUAAUUUCUGAGAAUUCACAUACAUAUAACAGGAGGGAUGGAAAGCUAUAUAUUUUAAAAUAAAUAAAUAAAAUUAAAAUUGUUUUAGGGUUUUUAAGAAAUGUUUAACAUUGAGACAGUGACAUGGUAGUCGCUAAGGCAGUGAUGUGUUUAAAGAAAGAAUCUAUGCACUGUCAUUAAAUAUUGUGUAUAAAAGCAAUAAAUUAAGUCAGUUAUACAA